This 221-nucleotide unclassified non-coding RNA is filed under the name Hevea brasiliensis (rubber tree). The record is from RNAcentral. Lineage: Eukaryota; Viridiplantae; Streptophyta; Magnoliopsida; Malpighiales; Euphorbiaceae.
GGAUUACAGCUUCAAAUCGAUAUCCUAAUAAGUAAACUUGCAUCACGUUAUUUGUUGAUAGAUAAUCAUUUUGAGCGUGAAAUCUGGUGUAGUAUUGAAAUAUUUUGAAGAUCUCAGCUUUUUUAAAUUUAUGCUAUUCUUUCUGCCUUUAGGAAGCUGCCAACCCCUUUGAGUACUGUGAUAUUGUCACACCUACCACCCACAAAAGCUUGAGGGGUCCU